AUACGGAGGCUGCAAGCGUUAAUCGGAAUUACUGGGCGUAAAGCGUACGUAGGCGGUCCGUUAAGUUAGAUGUGAAAGCCCCGGGCUUAACCUGGGAACUGCAUUUAAAACUGGCGGACUAGAGUUGAGUAGAGGGGAGUGGAAUUUCAGGUGUAGCGGUGAAAUGCGUAGAGAUCUGAAGGAACACCAGUGGCGAAGGCGACUCCCUGGACUCGAACUGACGCUGAGGUACGAAAGCGUGGGUAGCAAACGGGAUUAGAAACCCGAGUAGUCC
RNAcentral lists this ribosomal RNA (274 nucleotides) under uncultured bacterium. Its description in RNAcentral is "partial 16S ribosomal RNA". It matches the Rfam family "Bacterial small subunit ribosomal RNA", at positions 523 to 796 of the family's 1533-position model. The record is from RNAcentral.